UGGGGAAUAUUGCACAAUGGGCGCAAGCCUGAUGCAGCCAUGCCGCGUGUAUGAAGAAGGCCUUCGGGUUGUAAAGUACUUUCAGCGGGGAGGAAGGUGUUGUGGUUAAUAACCUCAGCAAUUGACGUUACCCGCAGAAGAAGCACCGGCUAACUCCGUGCCAGCAGCCGCGGUAAUACGGAGGGUGCAAGCGUUAAUCGGAAUUACUGGGCGUAAAGCGCACGCAGGCGGUCUGUCAAGUCGGAUGUGAAAUCCCCGGGCUCAACCUGGGAACUGCAUCCGAAACUGGCAGGCUUGAGUCUUGUAGAGGGGGGUAGAAUUCCAGGUGUAGCGGUGAAAUGCGUAGUGAUCUGGAGGAAUACCGGUGGCGAAGGCGGCCCCCUGGACAAAGACUGACGCUCAGGUGCGAAAGCGUGGGGAGCAAACA
RNAcentral lists this ribosomal RNA (427 nucleotides) under uncultured bacterium. Its description in RNAcentral is "partial 16S ribosomal RNA". It matches the Rfam family "Bacterial small subunit ribosomal RNA", at positions 355 to 774 of the family's 1533-position model. The record is from RNAcentral.